UCAUUGAACGGAGGAAAAAUCAUCAGUCGCCGGUCGCAACCACUGUGGUCGCCACAAUUUCUUUGUUUAUUUCCUUCUUGAUUAAGGCGAAGUUAGCAAAUCCAUUCAUACGCAGUGUAUGAAGAAAGCCAACGAAAGCGCCGCUUCCGUUCAGCCUCAGGCGUUCAUCGCUUCCAGCCGCUUGUCCCCGUCGCUCACAUCUGGGAGCUGCUUUCCGCCAGAUCGCCGCGCCAGUGACCCAGUCUGCUGUCACCGUCCGUCGUUCACUGCUUUCAACCAGUCUGCUGCAGUUGUUGCUCACACCCGGUCUUUGCAACCAUGAUUUCGACAACUAAGUAAUUUUUUUAAAUACUUAUUUUAGUUACUUAAUUAGGUUUAUUUGUUUAGGGUGAGAUUGUGAGAAUUCGGUGGGUGAUUGGACGAUCGAAUUAGGUAUAUAUUUUCUUCUGCCCGGAUGACGCGGCCGUUGGCGACAAUCGCAGGAAUUUUUAUAAAUUUGAAUGACCUGCAAAUAAGGAUGGCAAUUUGUUUGUAAGGCUUGUUGGAAAACCCGUUGUCGGACUUGAUUAAGUGCCAUUUGCUGUUCAAAUCGAAUAGUUUCAUUUUUAUAAUUUUCUAAUUGUUCUAAA
This is a long non-coding RNA of Ipomoea triloba (trilobed morning glory), 629 nucleotides long. RefSeq lists it as uncharacterized. NCBI's taxonomy places the organism in Eukaryota, Viridiplantae, Streptophyta, Magnoliopsida, Solanales, Convolvulaceae. The record is from RefSeq and is a predicted model, not a curated record. The transcript is spliced from 2 exons.